GACGAACGCUGGCGGCGUGCUUAACACAUGCAAGUCGAACGGAAAGGCCCUGCUUUUGUGGGGUGCUCGAGUGGCGAACGGGUGAGUAACACGUGAGUAACCUGCCCUUGACUUUGGGAUAACUUCAGGAAACUGGGGCUAAUACCGGAUAGGAGCUCCUGCUGCAUGGGGGGGGUUGGAAAGUUUCGGCGGUUGGGGGUGGACUCGCGGCUUAUCAGCUUGUUGGUGGGGUAGUGGCUUACCAAGGCUUUGACGGGUAGCCGGCCUGAGAGGGUGACCGGCCACAUUGGGACUGAGAUACGGCCCAGACUCCUACGGGAGGCAGCAGUGGGGAAUAUUGCACAAUGGGCGGAAGCCUGAUGCAGCAACGCCGCGUGCGGGAUGACGGCCUUCGGGUUGUAAACCGCUUUCGCCUGUGACGAAGCGUGAGUGACGGUAAUGGGUAAAGAAGCACCGGCUAACUACGUG
Molecule: ribosomal RNA, 468 nt
Filed under: uncultured bacterium
Lineage: Bacteria
Description: partial 16S ribosomal RNA
Rfam family: Bacterial small subunit ribosomal RNA
Source: RNAcentral